GACGAACGCUGGCGGCGUGCUUAACACAUGCAAGUCGAACGGAAAGGCCCCUUUUGGGGUACUCGAGUGGCGGACGGGCGGGUAACACGUGAGUAACCUGCCCUCGACUUCGUGAUAACUUCAGGAAACUGAGGCUAAUACCGAAUAGGUAUCCUUGCUGCAUGGUUGGGGGUGGAAAGCUUCGGCGGUUUUGGAUGGACUCGCGGCUUAUCAGCUUGUUGGUGGGGUAGUGGCUUACCAAGGCUUUGACGGGUAGCCGGCCUGAGAGGGCGACCGGCCACAUUGGGACUGAGAUACGGCCCAGACUCCUACGGGAGGCAGCAGUGGGGAAUAUUGCACAAUGGGCGGAAGCCUGAUGCAGCAACGCCGCGUGCGGGAUGACGGCCUUCGGGUUGUAAACCGCUUUCGGCAGGGGCGAAGCUUGUGGUGACGGUACCGGCAGAAGAAGCACCGGCUAAUUACGG
Molecule: ribosomal RNA, 464 nt
Filed under: uncultured bacterium
Lineage: Bacteria
Description: partial 16S ribosomal RNA
Rfam family: Bacterial small subunit ribosomal RNA
Source: RNAcentral